This 239-nucleotide long non-coding RNA is filed under the name Lathyrus oleraceus (garden pea). RNAcentral's name for it is "Pisum sativum (pea) long non-coding RNA (PSAT_LNC037386)". The record is from RNAcentral. Lineage: Eukaryota; Viridiplantae; Streptophyta; Magnoliopsida; Fabales; Fabaceae.
GGAAACCGACUGCCAAUCGCUGGACUUACGUCAGACUCCACACAAACGGGCAAACAUGGAAACCGAAUGCCAAUCGCUGGACUUACAUCAGACUCCGAACCAACAAACACACACAGGAAACCAACUGCCAAUCGCUGGACUUAUGUCAGACUCCAGACAAAGACACACACAAACUGGAAACCGAAUGCCAAUCGCUGGACUUACAUCAGACUCCAACCAGAAAAUGAUAACAAACACAC